CACUCUGGGAUAAGCCCGGGAAACUGGGUCUAAUACCGGAUACGACACUCCGAGGCAUCUUGGGGUGUGGAAAGUUCCGGCGGUGCAGGAUGAGCCCGCGGCCUAUCAGCUUGUUGGUGGGGUAAUGGCCUACCAAGGCGACGACGGGUAGCCGGCCUGAGAGGGUGACCGGCCACACUGGGACUGAGACACGGCCCAGACUCCUACGGGAGGCAGCAGUGGGGAAUAUUGCACAAUGGGCGAAAGCCUGAUGCAGCGACGCCGCGUGAGGGAUGACGGCCUUCGGGUUGUAAACCUCUUUCAGCAGGGAAGAAGCGAAAGUGACGGUACCUGCAGAAGAAGCACCGGCUAACUACGUGCCAGCAGCCGCGGUAAUACGUAGGGUGCGAGCGUUGUCCGGAAUUAUUGGGCGUAAAGAGCUCGUAGGCGGUUUGUCGCGUCGAUUGUGAAAGCCCGGGGCUUAACCCUGGGUCUGCAGUCGAUACGGGCAGGCUAGAGUUCGGCAGGGGAGACUGGAAUUCCUGGUGUAGCGGUGAAAUGCGCAGAUAUCAGGAGGAACACCGGUGGCGAAGGCGGGUCUCUGGGCCGAUACUGACGCUGAGGAGCGAAAGCGUGGGGAGCGAACAGGAUUAGAUACCCUGGUAGUCCACGCCGUAAACGGUGGGCACUAGGUGUGGGCAACAUUCCACGUUGUCCGUGCCGCAGCUAACGCAUUAAGUGCCCCGCCUGGGGAGUACGGCCGCAAGGCUA
Molecule: ribosomal RNA, 750 nt
Filed under: Streptomyces carpaticus
Lineage: Bacteria; Bacillati; Actinomycetota; Actinomycetes; Kitasatosporales; Streptomycetaceae
Description: bacterial SSU rRNA
Rfam family: Bacterial small subunit ribosomal RNA
Source: RNAcentral